UCCGAAUUGGUGUAUCGGUAACAUUUCCGCCUCUCACGCGGGAGCGAGGGGUUCGAUUCCCCUAUUCGGAA
This 71-nucleotide transfer RNA is filed under the name Ascocoryne sarcoides NRRL 50072. Its description in RNAcentral is "tRNA-Glu (CTC) (tRNA-Glu-CTC-2 1 to 4)". It matches the Rfam family "tRNA". Rfam says of the family: Transfer RNA (tRNA) molecules are approximately 80 nucleotides in length. Their secondary structure includes four short double-helical elements and three loops (D, anti-codon, and T loops). Lineage: Eukaryota; Fungi; Ascomycota; Leotiomycetes; Helotiales; Gelatinodiscaceae. The record is from RNAcentral.